AUUUAAGGAACGGAGGCUAAAUACGCCACGUCCUGUGGCAACGCCUGCAUGACCCACAUCCUGUGAG
Bacillus infantis NRRL B-14911 is the source of this 67-nucleotide small RNA. It matches the Rfam family "Bacillaceae-1 RNA". NCBI's taxonomy places the organism in Bacteria, Bacillati, Bacillota, Bacilli, Caryophanales, Bacillaceae. The record is from Rfam.